Molecule: ribosomal RNA, 254 nt
Filed under: uncultured bacterium
Lineage: Bacteria
Description: partial 16S ribosomal RNA
Rfam family: Bacterial small subunit ribosomal RNA
Source: RNAcentral
UACGAGGGGGGCGAGCGUUGUUCGGAAUUAUUGGGCGUAAAGGGUGCGUAGGCGGUUUGGCAAGUCGGGUGUGAAAACUCCGGGCUCAACUCGGAGACGCCACUCGAUACUGCUAUGACUCGAGUCCGGUAGGGGAGUGCGGAAUUCCUGGUGUAGCGGUGAAAUGCGCAGAUAUCAGGAGGAACACCGGUGGCGAAGACGGCACUCUGGGCCGGAACUGACGCUGAGGAGCGAAAGCGUGGGGAGCGAACAGG